UACGUAGGUGGCUAGCGUUGUCCGGAUUUACUGGGCGUAAAGGGUGCGUAGGCGGCGCAACAAGUCACUUGUGAAAUCUCCGGGCUUAACUCGGAGCGGCCAAGUGAUACUGUCGUGCUAGAGUGCGGAAGGGGCUACUGGAAUUCUCGGUGUAGCGGUGAAAUGCGUAGAUAUCGAGAGGAACACCUGCGGCGAAGGCGGGUAGCUGGGCCGACACUGACGCUGAGGCGCGAAAGCCAGGGGAGCGAACGGG
RNAcentral lists this ribosomal RNA (253 nucleotides) under uncultured bacterium. RNAcentral describes it as "partial 16S ribosomal RNA". It matches the Rfam family "Bacterial small subunit ribosomal RNA", at positions 524 to 776 of the family's 1533-position model. The record is from RNAcentral.